AGUACGGUGGACUCCUGUUGGGCUAGCUUCGAAUGAUGGAAUGAUGGAUUCUGCUAUCCUGGGUUUAUUCCGGGAAAGGGAAGCUGCUACAUCCAGCUAGUUUCCAACGUUCUGCUGUAAACGUGGCUUCAGAUGAAGAGAAGAAAACCAGUUUAAGGGAAUCGCGAAAGGGGUGGGGAGAGAAAAAAGAACUCACGGUUUCAGAGAUCUCAAUCCAUAGACAGUGGAGUCCAUUCCUUGGUGCUCAAGGAAAGUAACCAAGUUAUGCUCCACAGCACAGAUUUUCUAUUGGGGGAGAUAGACAAUGAAGAUCUAACAAAAGAUCAGAAAGAUAAAGAGAAGCUUCUGGUUCCUCGUUCAUACCCAGUGGUGGUAGUUGUGUUGCUGAAGAACAGGUAAGUCUGGACUCUACAGUCCAGAUGCAGCAGAACUCUUCUAUGCAGAAUGAUCCUUAGUGUUCCAGAAUCAGCAAAUGGUGAAACAUCGGAUGAAGCAUCAGGUGUGUUCUCCAAGUCAGGAAUCCGAGCAGUUUCGAAGCUCUCAUUUUCUAAGCUCUAUGAUACCUUCUUGCUCCCUAAACCCCACCACCAUUUUUUUUCUAGAUAUUCCAGCACCUUUGUCACCUAUUAUUUCCUGUUAUUUCAUACUUAAAUUUCUAGUGUUGUUUCUAUUGUUCUGACUGGACUGUUCUCCUGAAAAAGUACCCUUAAAAUAAGAUUUUAUUAGAAAUCCUGCACUACAAAUAGAAUGUAUGUCCUUGACACCAUAAAAAAAGAGGAACCUCCAAAUUGUGCUCCCUAGAAAACAAGGCCUAUGUUUUCACAAAAGAAUGAUAAA
Non-coding RNA from Ictidomys tridecemlineatus (thirteen-lined ground squirrel), 837 nucleotides. NCBI's taxonomy places the organism in Eukaryota, Metazoa, Chordata, Mammalia, Rodentia, Sciuridae. The record is from RefSeq and is a predicted model, not a curated record.